GACGAACGCUGGCGGCGUGCUUAACACAUGCAAGUCGAACGGUGAAGCGCCUUCCUUUUUGGUGGGUGUGGAUGAGUGGCGAACGGGUGAGUAACACGUGAGUAACCUGCCCCCUUCUUCUGGAUAACCGCAUGAAAGUGUGGCUAAUACGGGAUAUUCUGGGUCUGUCGCAUGAUGGGUCUGGGAAAGAUAUUGUUUCGGUGGGGGAUGGGCUCGCGGCCUAUCAGCUUGUUGGUGGGGUGAUGGCCUACCAAGGCGGUGACGGGUAGCCGGCCUGAGAGGGUGGACGGUCACACUGGGACUGAGCCACGGCCCAGCCUCCUACGGGAGGCAGCAGUGGGGCAUAUUGCCCGAUGGGCGCAAGCCUGAUGCAGCGACGCCGCGUGAGGGAUGGAGGCCUUCGGGUUGUGAACCUCUUUCGCCAGUGAAGCAGGCCUGCCUCGUUUGUGGGUGGGUUGACGGUAGCUGGAUAAGAAGCGCCGGCUAACUACGU
RNAcentral lists this ribosomal RNA (493 nucleotides) under uncultured bacterium. RNAcentral's name for it is "partial 16S ribosomal RNA". It matches the Rfam family "Bacterial small subunit ribosomal RNA", at positions 28 to 506 of the family's 1533-position model. The record is from RNAcentral.